Molecule: ribosomal RNA, 624 nt
Filed under: Bacillus sp. FJAT-4399
Lineage: Bacteria; Bacillati; Bacillota; Bacilli; Caryophanales; Bacillaceae
Description: bacterial SSU rRNA
Rfam family: Bacterial small subunit ribosomal RNA
Source: RNAcentral
CGGAAGAUGGGAGCUUGCUCCCUGAUGUUAGCGGCGGACGGGUGAGUAACACGUGGGUAACCUGCCUGUAAGACUGGGAUAACUCCGGGAAACCGGGGCUAAUACCGGAUGCUUGUUUGAACCGCAUGGUUCAAACAUAAAAGGUGGCUUCGGCUACCACUUACAGAUGGACCCGCGGCGCAUUAGCUAGUUGGUGAGGUAACGGCUCACCAAGGCAACGAUGCGUAGCCGACCUGAGAGGGUGAUCGGCCACACUGGGACUGAGACACGGCCCAGACUCCUACGGGAGGCAGCAGUAGGGAAUCUUCCGCAAUGGACGAAAGUCUGACGGAGCAACGCCGCGUGAGUGAUGAAGGUUUUCGGAUCGUAAAGCUCUGUUGUUAGGGAAGAACAAGUACCGUUCGAAUAGGGCGGUACCUUGACGGUACCUAACCAGAAAGCCACGGCUAACUACGUGCCAGCAGCCGCGGUAAUACGUAGGUGGCAAGCGUUGUCCGGAAUUAUUGGGCGUAAAGGGCUCGCAGGCGGUUCCUUAAGUCUGAUGUGAAAGCCCCCGGCUCAACCGGGGAGGGUCAUUGGAAACUGGGGAACUUGAGUGCAGAAGAGGAGAGUGGAAUUCCACGU